UGCCACGCAUCGCGGUCACUCACAGCAUCUGGGCACACGGCACGUAAUGUAUCUUAUUGUACAAUUUCUCGAUAAUUACAGACAUGUUAUCACUGUGUAAUGUUUACCGUAUCCUGUGAUGAGACGAAUAGUAUUGACGGACAGCUGAUUUACUGAUUAGCAUGGCUAUCUUUGACGAAAAAAUAAAUAGUUGGUAGGCUACGUGAGGUCCCAGGAUGCUGCUGAGUGAACGCCAUUGUUGACAGAUGCUAAAGGCUGAAGUAACGCCAUUGUUGACGGAAGAUGUGGAUUACCUAGGGCUAUGUGACCUAUUUAAGGAAAGCUCACCGAAGUUUCUACGUUUUUCCAGGGUGAAAAAAAAACUGCAAUGCAGUGAGCUCAGUACUGGUGACUGCACUAUUGCUGCAUAUUCAAGUCUUGGUCUUAUCGUCAAUGUUAUUAAUUUCUUGAUCACAUCUUCAUUCAGAGUGUCCUCCAAGACUGCCUGCAACUUUCUGUUAAUCUCCAGGGAGAGCUCAAGAGUCAUAGUUCCAUCCCGAGGUGCUGAUCCAUACACUGAUGCCAUGAUACCACCAUGCCGCAUCAACUCAGCCUGAGAAGAGACAAAGUGGAUUUUAGUUUGUAUGAAUUGUAUGCCUUUACAUAUUGAUAAAAAAUAUGCAAGAAUCAAUAAGCACCUUUAAGUAUGCUUUAAAACUACACUAGUAUAUGUUUUUGCAACCAAUAUUGGAGGACGCACCUGUUUCUUUGAACCUGGUAUCCUGGUAGCAGCAUUGGAAGACUGAUAUAAAAAUGUUAUUAAUACUGGGUCAGUUCUCCAACUAGCCCAAAAAAUAAAAGUGUCAAGAUCUUA
Molecule: long non-coding RNA, 853 nt
Organism: Portunus trituberculatus (swimming crab)
Lineage: Eukaryota; Metazoa; Arthropoda; Malacostraca; Decapoda; Portunidae
Exons: 5
Source: RefSeq, a predicted model, not a curated record